AAAGUCGUAACAAGGUUUCCGUAGGUGAACCUGCGGAAGGAUCAUUACAAGUAUUGAGAGGUGUAGGUAGGUAAGAGUUAUAACCUGUUAUAGCUCUAACCCCUAUAUUCACGCGUGUUGUGUUUGACAGAGUUAUUAUGUUGGUAAAUAUACAAAACUUUUAACAAUGGAUCUCUUGGUUCUC
RNAcentral lists this unclassified non-coding RNA (184 nucleotides) under Basidiomycota sp. RNAcentral's name for it is "partial contains small subunit ribosomal RNA, internal transcribed spacer 1, and 5.8S ribosomal RNA". The stretch from base 1 to 47 matches the Rfam family "Eukaryotic small subunit ribosomal RNA", at positions 1785 to 1831 of the family's 1831-position model. Lineage: Eukaryota; Fungi; Basidiomycota. The record is from RNAcentral.